Molecule: long non-coding RNA, 226 nt
Filed under: Dasypus novemcinctus (nine-banded armadillo)
Lineage: Eukaryota; Metazoa; Chordata; Mammalia; Cingulata; Dasypodidae
Description: lncRNA (ENSDNOG00000050500.1)
Source: RNAcentral
GGACACCAGUGAGAUACUGUCAUCUUCAUCAGGAAAAUUUCUUUUGGAAAUUUUGAGGAACCGUACACACAAUGACAACUCAACACUGACUAGUCAACCUUCUCAGCAUGUGGACUUGAUCAUACGGAAUGUGAGUCUUGUUUCUACAGGAAAUCAUCUUAAUGCUGCCCGAGGCAAAGGUGAGAAAUGCUGAGUAGGCUCUUCAAAUGGCCACCAUAAGGGUUUU